Molecule: microRNA precursor, 193 nt
Filed under: Oryza brachyantha (malo sina)
Lineage: Eukaryota; Viridiplantae; Streptophyta; Magnoliopsida; Poales; Poaceae
Description: MIR812 microRNA precursor family
Rfam family: MIR812 microRNA precursor family
Source: Rfam by way of RNAcentral
AAUAAACCAAUUUUUUAUUUUUUACCUAUAAUUUUUGACUCCCCGUCUUAUUAAAAAAAUUUUGCGAUUGAUAUUUUUAUUUUUAUUAGAUGAUAAAUUAUAAAUAGUACUUUACGUGUGACUAAUUUUUUUCUAAUUUUCUAAAUUUUUUUUAAAUAAGACGGAUGGUCAAAUAUUGAACACGAAAAUUAGG